This 72-nucleotide transfer RNA is filed under the name Pangasianodon hypophthalmus (striped catfish). It matches the Rfam family "tRNA". From Rfam's summary of the family: Transfer RNA (tRNA) molecules are approximately 80 nucleotides in length. Their secondary structure includes four short double-helical elements and three loops (D, anti-codon, and T loops). Further hydrogen bonds mediate the characteristic L-shaped molecular structure. tRNAs have two regions of fundamental functional importance: the anti-codon, which is responsible for specific mRNA codon recognition, and the 3' end, to which the tRNAs corresponding amino acid is attached (by aminoacyl-tRNA synthetases). tRNAs cope with the degeneracy of the genetic code in two manners: having more than one tRNA (with a specific anti-codon) for a particular amino acid; and 'wobble' base-pairing, i.e. permitting non-standard base-pairing at the 3rd anti-codon position. Lineage: Eukaryota; Metazoa; Chordata; Actinopteri; Siluriformes; Pangasiidae. The record is from Rfam by way of RNAcentral.
UCCCUGGAGGACUAGUGGUUAGGCCACAGUGCUCUCGCCGCCAUGACCCGGGUUUGAUUCCCAGCCAGGGAA